Quercus robur (English oak) is the source of this 809-nucleotide long non-coding RNA. RefSeq lists it as uncharacterized. The transcript is spliced from 3 exons. Lineage: Eukaryota; Viridiplantae; Streptophyta; Magnoliopsida; Fagales; Fagaceae. The record is from RefSeq and is a predicted model, not a curated record.
AAAAAGGAGAGAUUUUAAGAGGGAUUUCAUGAUCCUCAAAUAAUUGUUUGACAUUUCUUUCAAGCUCAGAAUGAUGAUUUUUCAGCCAUCUUUAAUUUUGAAGAUUAUAAAGCAUCUCGUGAGAAAUGUUACAAGCAGAUUCAAGCUGCCAUAGCAAAGUUCCGAGAGAUUAAGGAGAACAUCAAUGAGGGACUGAAAUUUUAUGUUACUCUACAGGAUGCAAUCACAAAUGUAAAGUAGCAAUGCAACGAUUUUGUCAUGACCAGAAACAUCCAGUGCCGGGAAAUGACUGAAGAUGUGCAAAGACAAAUGGCGGGCCUCAGUUUCUAGGAUAAUAAAAACGCAGGUGCUUACAACAACUACCCUUCAGCCAUGAGUAUGGCCAACCUGCUUAUCCGGGGUGGCAAGGCCCAUACUACAAUGGCCAUGCACAACAAUCUGGAUCUCAUCCUCGGGCUCCUUACACCAUCCCAGCUCCAUACCCUCCUCCUCACCAAAGUGGCUACUAUAAGCAACAAUAGUGUAGCUGUGUAGCAUCUAUCUAUUUUGGCUAUAUAAUUUGAUUGUUUUUGAUAUGUAAUCUGUCACUUUGUUCCAUCCUUGGUUAAAUGGAUUGGAUUUAGCUAGAUCUUAUUUAUGAUCGUAUAGCCUCUUCAUAAUCUGUAUGCUGGUUUGCCUAAUGCUUUGUAUGUGAAUUGCAUAGCUUGUACAAGGAUUUUUCUAUGUACAACUUUUAAAUUACGUUGAGAUUUACCGAAAUGAUACUAAUUUGAUAAAUAAAAAUCAUCUAUUUCACCUUUUGUGUUCCA